GUCUCAACACGCCGCGGCGGUACUUACCGCCGCCUGACGGGACAACCACCGCGGCGGUACGUACUGCCGCGGCAAAUAAUUUCCCCAAGAUCACAGCGCCACUCGGUGGCGGCAGGCCGGUAGCUUUUCUUAAAGUAAGUGCUCUGAAAAUGGAUCAACCUCCUGAAGACCCAGAUUUAAAUGAGUCGAAAAAGAAAGAUGAAAAGAACGCCAAAAAGAUAUUGCAGCGGUUGGGUGAGCCUAAUAGAGGUUCAAACCUCAGACAACAAUCAAAUCUUUCAUUUUUCAAGCCCAAAGCUUCUCCCUGUUCUAAAACCCACAAGCCAAACUCUAGUUCAUAAGCUGCUGGUCAUCCAGCAGCUGCACCGCUGGAAGGCUUGGACUUGUUUCAGAAUGUUACGAAUCCAACUGAAACUACUGUUGAUGUUGAUGAGAUGAGGUAAAAAAUAAUGGAAAAUGUGAUGAUUGACAUUCAAAAAGCAGCAGACAUACAAAAUGAUGCUUUUACUAAAGUGGUAGAAAAGGAAAGGGAACUCAGGAAAGAAAGACUGAAAGGCAAAGAAUGGCAGUCAAGAAAUGAAGCUCUUCAUGGAGCUUGGACAACAGAAAUACGGACUAUUUUCGUUAAUGCCCAACUCAAGAGGAGAAGUCAGUUUCAUAGUGUGUGCACUGUGUGCAAGAAAAGUGGCCGAAUCCUCGUAUGCUGUUAUGAUUGUAAGCAACAUUUAUGCUGGGAAUGUGAUUAUGCAUUCCAUUUUUUCAAUCCACUUCAUGCCAGAGUUUAUAAAACAAGUAAAAACUACUCAACUGAGCAACUAUUACCAACCGAGUUUAUGAACGAGUUUGGUCAAAAAAUUGAGAAAGACGUUCCUGUAACUUGCUUCCCUCCUUCCAGGUGUUGGAGUUGUAGCUGGACACUUGUGUAUUAAAUACCGGAACCAACGAUGUUAUACUGUUAUCACAGUUAAAAAGGAAGGUUCGAUUUAAAGUCUGCCAGUUUCAGCUGCACUUCUUGCGUGUAGGGAGGCCCUCGAUGAAGAGUACGUUUAUUCAGAAUGGCUACCAGGCAAACCAGGAAAGGAUAAGGAAGAACCUGCUAAUCUCUUUUUUGAUGAACAUCUUUUGGAUACCUGUACGAAAUUCAAAACAAUACUCCUGGAACAUCACAAGAAAUGUUUCUGAGAAGUCUUUCUCAAAUGUCUACUCAAAAUGGCCAGCCAAGUUACAUCAAUCCAAUUCUGUUUUUUAAAGCCUAUGAUGAGAAUAAUCUAAUGAAGUGCAUUCAUCUCGUUCAGUUCUUACAAUAAUAAAUCAGUGAACAAUU
RNAcentral lists this long non-coding RNA (1324 nucleotides) under Daphnia pulicaria. Its description in RNAcentral is "uncharacterized LOC124341965, transcript variant X3". The record is from RNAcentral. Lineage: Eukaryota; Metazoa; Arthropoda; Branchiopoda; Diplostraca; Daphniidae.